This is a long non-coding RNA of Toxorhynchites rutilus septentrionalis, 600 nucleotides long. RefSeq lists it as uncharacterized. The transcript has 3 exons. Lineage: Eukaryota; Metazoa; Arthropoda; Insecta; Diptera; Culicidae. The record is from RefSeq and is a predicted model, not a curated record.
UACCUAAUUUUGAAUCAGUAAUUGAUCGUUUUUGAAUCACUGGUCGGUGAUUAUCAUCCGUCACCCCAUUCGCAUAAUAACAGGAUACAGAGGAUAUACAUAAUAAUCUUCAUGAUAAUGUCACUCGCUGUGUAAAUAUCAUGAUACCGAGCUCCAAGUGAUGAUUCAUCACUGACUGAUGUUCAUCAAUACCCUAUUGAAUCAACGAAAUAGCAGCCGGAUGAUGAGAGGGUAUUCACUCUGCAGGAAUAAGUUCAAUCAUUCGCUCAAGCACUUCACUUCGAAAUGAUAACAGGAAGAUUCUCUGGCAAGGCGGUCGACUGUUUUCUGUACGUAGUGCAUAAAAGAACACAUAUCGGUACUGAAGUAGUUCGAUCAGUGCAGGUUGAGUGAUUUUUUUGAAUCAGGGAUAUCAGUGAUCGACGUGAUAUUGCAUCAUGUGAUAUUCCUUAGAACCGGUUGCCGAGAUUGUGGCUUUACGGUCGUGAGCAAUCAUAAAAUAUCAUGUAAUCAGAAAGUUGUAGUAUGCAGUAUGUAGUACGUAUAUAACAAAAUGCGAUCUGUUUAUGUCGUUGUAUACUGAAUAAAAUAAUAAAUUUC